AGUUUGAUCAUGGCUCAGAUUGAACGCUGGCGGCAUGCCUUACACAUGCAAGUCGAACGGUAACGGGCCUUCGGGUGCCGACGAGUGGCGAACGGGUGAGUAAUGCAUCGGAACGUACCUUUCAGUGGGGAUAACGUAGCGAAAGUUACGCUAAUACCGCAUAUUCUGUGCGCAGGAAAGCAGGGGAUCGCAAGACCUUGCGCUGAUUGAGCGGCCGAUGUCAGAUUAGCUAGUUGGUGAGGUAAAGGCUCACCAAGGCGACGAUCUGUAGCGGGUCUGAGAGGAUGAUCCGCCACACUGGAACUGAGACACGGUCCAGACUCCUACGGGAGGCAGCAGUGGGGAAUUUUGGACAAUGGGGGCAACCCUGAUCCAGCCAUGCCGCGUGAGUGAAGAAGGCCUUCGGGUUGUAAAGCUCUUUCGGCCGGGAAGAAAUCGCAUGGGCUAAUACCCUGUGCGGAUGACGGUACCGGCAUAAGAAGCACCGGCUAACUACGUG
Molecule: ribosomal RNA, 499 nt
Filed under: uncultured bacterium
Lineage: Bacteria
Description: bacterial SSU rRNA
Rfam family: Bacterial small subunit ribosomal RNA
Source: RNAcentral